CCUGCCCCGAAAGACAUUGCAGAUGUGACUUCUGUGUCACAUGUGCACCAGUAGGUGGCAGAGAGGAGAAAGGCUAUGCUUCCAUUCAGUGCUCUGCCCUAUGAACAUCUCAAUGCUUAGUAAGCUACCAUU
RNAcentral lists this small nucleolar RNA (132 nucleotides) under Mus pahari (shrew mouse). Its description in RNAcentral is "predicted gene, 25485 (MGP_PahariEiJ_G0034716.1)". It matches the Rfam family "Small nucleolar RNA SNORA17". From Rfam's summary of the family: snoRNA ACA 17 belongs to the H/ACA family of snoRNAs and is predicted to guide pseudouridylation of the 28S rRNA at positions U4659 and U4598. It shares the same host gene together with ACA43. The record is from RNAcentral. Lineage: Eukaryota; Metazoa; Chordata; Mammalia; Rodentia; Muridae.